This 304-nucleotide long non-coding RNA is filed under the name Physcomitrium patens. Its description in RNAcentral is "long non-coding RNA (PPAT_LNC001275)". Lineage: Eukaryota; Viridiplantae; Streptophyta; Bryopsida; Funariales; Funariaceae. The record is from RNAcentral.
CCUCUUCCAACCAUAUUGCUUUGGACUCAUUUGCCAACUUAGGCACCAUUAAAAAUUCCCAUAGUUUAUAAAUAUAAAAUCUCAAGAACUUCAUAAUUAUCAACUUGAGGCCUAAUAUUGGAGUCGUAUUCACUUUUUCUACUAUAUUAAUUAUGCUUACUAAUGUUGGAGUUGAAUUUUAGUUGCUCACUCCAACUUGGGGAUUCAUUACUUGCUCCCUUCAUACCCUUGAUUACAAUCUGUAUACAUCACAAAUUUGUUCCCGUUGUCUUUUUAAAUAAACUCUCAUUUCAUUGAAUGUUAU